UACGUAGGGUGCGAGCGUUAAUCGGAAUUACUGGGCGUAAAGCGUGCGCAGGCGGUUCGUUGUGUCGGUGGUGAGAGCCCCGGGCUUAACCUGGGGAUGGCCAUGGAAACUGGCGAACUGGAGUGUGGCAGAGGGGGGUGGAAUUCCGCGUGUAGCAGUGAAAUGCGUAGAGAUGCGGAGGAACACCGAUGGCGAAGGCAGCCCCCUGGGCUAGCACUGACGCUCAGGCACGAAAGCGUGGGGAGCAAACAGG
Molecule: ribosomal RNA, 253 nt
Filed under: uncultured bacterium
Lineage: Bacteria
Description: partial 16S ribosomal RNA
Rfam family: Bacterial small subunit ribosomal RNA
Source: RNAcentral